GAAGGUAUAGCUCAGUGGUAGAGUGUUUGCCUAGAAUGCACGAGGUCCUGGAUUCAAUUCCCAGUCCUUCCA
Molecule: transfer RNA, 72 nt
Filed under: Camelus bactrianus (Bactrian camel)
Lineage: Eukaryota; Metazoa; Chordata; Mammalia; Artiodactyla; Camelidae
Also listed under: 2 other names
Rfam family: tRNA
About the family: Transfer RNA (tRNA) molecules are approximately 80 nucleotides in length.
Source: Rfam by way of RNAcentral